This 292-nucleotide signal recognition particle RNA is filed under the name Helianthus annuus (common sunflower). Its description in RNAcentral is "sRNA HanXRQr2_Chr05g0199221". It matches the Rfam family "Plant signal recognition particle RNA". The record is from Rfam by way of RNAcentral. Lineage: Eukaryota; Viridiplantae; Streptophyta; Magnoliopsida; Asterales; Asteraceae.
AUCAGGUUUGCCUGUAACCCAAGUGGGGGUUAAUAGAGUGGGUUGGACAUUGGCUCGCUCCAGUUCGGUUGGGUCUGGUUUGCAAAAUCCCCUUGCCCAUUCCAAGUUGAGAGUUGGUUCGUGUGGCUUGAGCGAAGGCUUGGGUUACAUGCACCCUAGACUAAGGGGCACUUCGUUAGGCUGGCUUCACAGAGCUGCGACAACCCUUGGCUCCUGCUAGUGUUAAUUAACAGGCUUGGGCUAAGCAGGCUCAAUUAACCAACUGGUCUGACUCAAAUGAACACCCAUUGUU